Molecule: ribosomal RNA, 1538 nt
Filed under: Salmonella enterica subsp. enterica serovar Senftenberg
Lineage: Bacteria; Pseudomonadati; Pseudomonadota; Gammaproteobacteria; Enterobacterales; Enterobacteriaceae
Description: bacterial SSU rRNA
Rfam family: Bacterial small subunit ribosomal RNA
Source: RNAcentral
UUGAAGAGUUUGAUCAUGGCUCAGAUUGAACGCUGGCGGCAGGCCUAACACAUGCAAGUCGAACGGUAACAGGAAGCAGCUUGCUGCUUUGCUGACGAGUGGCGGACGGGUGAGUAAUGUCUGGGAAACUGCCUGAUGGAGGGGGAUAACUACUGGAAACGGUGGCUAAUACCGCAUAACGUCGCAAGACCAAAGAGGGGGACCUUCGGGCCUCUUGCCAUCAGAUGUGCCCAGAUGGGAUUAGCUGGUUGGUGAGGUAACGGCUCACCAAGGCGACGAUCCCUAGCUGGUCUGAGAGGAUGACCAGCCACACUGGAACUGAGACACGGUCCAGACUCCUACGGGAGGCAGCAGUGGGGAAUAUUGCACAAUGGGCGCAAGCCUGAUGCAGCCAUGCCGCGUGUAUGAAGAAGGCCUUCGGGUUGUAAAGUACUUUCAGCGGGGAGGAAGGUGUUGUGGUUAAUAACCGCAGCAAUUGACGUUACCCGCAGAAGAAGCACCGGCUAACUCCGUGCCAGCAGCCGCGGUAAUACGGAGGGUGCAAGCGUUAAUCGGAAUUACUGGGCGUAAAGCGCACGCAGGCGGUCUGUCAAGUCGGAUGUGAAAUCCCCGGGCUCAACCUGGGAACUGCAUUCGAAACUGGCAGGCUUGAGUCUUGUAGAGGGGGGUAGAAUUCCAGGUGUAGCGGUGAAAUGCGUAGAGAUCUGGAGGAAUACCGGUGGCGAAGGCGGCCCCCUGGACAAAGACUGACGCUCAGGUGCGAAAGCGUGGGGAGCAAACAGGAUUAGAUACCCUGGUAGUCCACGCCGUAAACGAUGUCUACUUGGAGGUUGUGCCCUUGAGGCGUGGCUUCCGGAGCUAACGCGUUAAGUAGACCGCCUGGGGAGUACGGCCGCAAGGUUAAAACUCAAAUGAAUUGACGGGGGCCCGCACAAGCGGUGGAGCAUGUGGUUUAAUUCGAUGCAACGCGAAGAACCUUACCUGGUCUUGACAUCCACGGAAGUUUUCAGAGAUGAGAAUGUGCCUUCGGGAACCGUGAGACAGGUGCUGCAUGGCUGUCGUCAGCUCGUGUUGUGAAAUGUUGGGUUAAGUCCCGCAACGAGCGCAACCCUUAUCCUUUGUUGCCAGCGGUUAGGCCGGGAACUCAAAGGAGACUGCCAGUGAUAAACUGGAGGAAGGUGGGGAUGACGUCAAGUCAUCAUGGCCCUUACGACCAGGGCUACACACGUGCUACAAUGGCGCAUACAAAGAGAAGCGACCUCGCGAGAGCAAGCGGACCUCAUAAAGUGCGUCGUAGUCCGGAUUGGAGUCUGCAACUCGACUCCAUGAAGUCGGAAUCGCUAGUAAUCGUGGAUCAGAAUGCCACGGUGAAUACGUUCCCGGGCCUUGUACACACCGCCCGUCACACCAUGGGAGUGGGUUGCAAAAGAAGUAGGUAGCUUAACCUUCGGGAGGGCGCUUACCACUUUGUGAUUCAUGACUGGGGUGAAGUCGUAACAAGGUAACCGUAGGGGAACCUGCGGUUGGAUCACCUCCUU